CGCAAAGUGUGCUUUAGACAUGUUUUCAUCAAGUUAUUAACUGAUUAAAUACUUAAUAAUCGAACAAUUAUCAAGAAUAGUUUAUGUAGGUAGUAGUCAAUUCAGUGUUGCACGAGGCCAAUUCGAAGAGAUUUAGAUCACUUUUGUUUGGCACUUGUUGAGAGACGCGUGCGUGUGUCUCGCGCGUGAAGAACACUUUCUCCGUGUGCGCUGAGGCACGGGGCACCCUCCGAAGACGAGAGUCAGGCGAGCACUGCGAAUUGGCAUGCGAGCGAGCGCCGUGGUGGCCGGCCGCGAGGGGGGCUCGACUAUUAGCAUAAUGGUGCGCGGCAUGCAGCGCGCGGACUGGACGCGGACGGCGUGACCCAAGCCGCCGAUAGCGCCCGGAGAGGAUGUGGGUUAUCUCUUCAGCUGCCGAAACACCGGCACAUGCUCUACACGCCACAGCAUUCAUAGAGAAGUACAGAAAAUGUAAAAACUAGAAAUUGACUUACAUGGCAACACAACACCUGGAACAAAAUUGUUCAGAACAUAUACUGCAGCUUUUUAUACACUCUGGACACAAGGACACCUCACAAAACCAGCAAUUCCCUUGGAUGAAUUUAAUAUCAUUGCAUUCCACACACAAUCGAUGAGCAGGAGCAUUUGCAUCGGAGAGUGCCACCCCUGUUGGUGAUAACACAUUGUUGUUAUUCAUACCGGCAAAGAGUAAACUUAGGGUUUUAUCUGCGAAUUAAUAUAAUUAGACAUAACAAUUGCAAUCGCAUGCGUUGUUUACACUUGAUGAUGAUAUCUUCAACGAUCCUGUAAGUAAUUCAACAUUCAUUAUUUAACAGUCAUUUUUAAUCAUUCUCAAACUUACGUUUUAUCACCGGGGUUUUCAAGUCGUGGAAUGGCGGCCAAAGCUUCAUCAAAAUAAAAUUUCGCUUCCGAUGUUAAAUAUCCUUGGAAAACCUCGCGUAACAUUCGAAUAUCCGCCGUGGCUUGUUGAAUGCCUGCCGUGCUGAAAUUCCGCACGCAAUCCAUCAAUCUAUACAAUUCCUCAGCGAUUGUCUGCACAACUUGUGGUAAAACACUGUCUACCAACGCAGGCGAGAUACAAUUCACCUCACAAUGCACAUGUAUCAAAUUAUUUAUGCAUUCUUUCGCGUACGGACGAAUAUCUUUCGGUGUAAUAUUCGUAUCCCAAUCAAAACGUUCCAAAUACAUCGACGGUUCAAUAGUUCCCACAAGCGGAUCACUUUUUUCUUCUAAAUAAUACUCCAGGACAGAUUUCUCCAAUGAUUCUAACUUAGAUGCGCAGUUUUCAAAUGCUUGCUUUGGAACAGGAUAACCACUCUUCGCGAAACUCUCUUCUAAAUUUUUCAGAACAACUUGUCGAGUAUACUGACAAUUAGCCAAUGAAGUAAGUAAUCGUUUCUCCCACGUUGGCAGUGUUUUCUUGUUGGCGUUGUUUCGAUAAUUCGCAGGUGUACCAAUAAGUUGCGACACCACCGGCGAAGAAUCGUCAUCUUCGUUCUCUUCUUUCGCAGCUAAAUUCGCUAAAACCUUGUGGAAUACUCCCAAUAAUGCGUCGACUUGAUUAUCAAGCUCUUUAUGCGCUGUGGGGUUAUCCAACAAUGAACCUUCGCGUUGUUCACUUGUCAACACAGAUUCCCUGAUUAUUUGGAUCACUUCCUGCACGGCCUGCUCGAAUUUAAUCGGUAAUUCAGUAAUACCAUUGUGUUUGCCAUUGAAUUCAAUCCGCCAUGUUUCUUGCUUCGACAACUGUUCAAUUUGUUCCGCGGCUUGUUUAAAUAGAAUAUUCAUACAGUAAAUCCUCAAAUCAAGUAUAAAUGUGAAUACAAUAUCCAGCGCUUCAUUGGGUAAGUCCAACUUAAUCAAAAUGGCGUAGGUUGCACGCACGUGACGUAAGCAAGCCGGCAGCCACGGUUUUACAAGUUCUGUAUCACUCUGCGCCCAUGAUCCGAACGUUGCUUUGUCAUAGUUUUUAUCUAAAGUAUGUGGAAUAAUUGCAGCGCGUAAUGUUUUGCAAAACAUCUCCAUAAUUGCAAGCACAAUGUGUUUGAACUCCACUUGUCUGCCAGGUUCUAUUUUUACGUGUAAUUCGCCAGUGAAGUAACUCUGACCAAGUUUCCAUAGAUUAGGGAAUAAUUGCGAGACAAUUUCGCAUAGAUCUUCAACGAAUAAGACAGAUUCCGGCACUCCUGUCAUAUCUUGUGGCGUGUUAUUGAAUUUUGCGAAUUUAUUACCACUGCCUUUUAUUUUACUCUCAUCCAGGGUGGCUUCUUCGGCGUGUUUAUGCUCUGUGUAGCAUUCUUUAACGCGUUUGUUUAAAUAAUCGUUGUGGCUUUGUAUAGCGUCCCAUGCUGGUUCAUAGGCUGCUUCCAGGUUAACCAAAUGCCGAAUGAGGCGUUUUUGUUCUUCGACUGAGAUUGGCAUGCGUGUUAGUUUGCUGUGCAACAUUUCUUGGAGCAAAGCAACACGUCGUUCAAUUUCUACCAGCGCCAUUUUGAAUAUAGGCACGUCACUCUUAUUAAAUAGAUUUUUAACGCGCAUGUAGUCAUUGAUAACGAUAUCGUAGUCGCCUUUCUUUAUAUUGCGUUCGAUUACGCAGGGUAAACAGAAGAGAAAACGGAAACGUGAUAGGACAUUCAGUGCGUUUCGGGUCUUCUCAGCGCGAUCACGACGUGUUAAGACAUCAUCGAAUAGUUUUCUUGCUUCACGUUCCGAUUCUGAAUAAAAAUAUAUUUGUUUUAUAAAAUUAAGUAAAUUUUGAGUGUUUACAAACCUUUGAUUGCUUUUUCCAGUGUUAAAGUUGGUUCUGGUCCUUGUAUUCUUGCAUCUUUUUUGAAUUUCUCAUCCAGGAUCAUUGUAGUGUCCAAUUGGUCAAUGACAGAUGAAAUAUUUGCUUUUAGAAAAGAUAAUUGUCCUUCUUUCUGCCCAUCUACCUUCCUCCUUAGAUGUACCAUACUAAAAUAAACAAAAUAAUUAUUAUUUUCUUAAA
Dalotia coriaria is the source of this 3007-nucleotide long non-coding RNA. RefSeq lists it as uncharacterized. Lineage: Eukaryota; Metazoa; Arthropoda; Insecta; Coleoptera; Staphylinidae. The transcript has 5 exons. The record is from RefSeq and is a predicted model, not a curated record.